CAUAUGUUGGAGGAUAGAGUAAGCCCAGAUAGAUUGGCAUCUGACAUCCAAGUGUUUGCUUUGUUUUUGUUGGAGAUUGGUAUAAGUCCAUAGAGUGGCCUCUGAUAUCCGGUUUUGUUUUAGGAGAUUGGUAUAAGUCCAGUGAUUGGCAUCCGGUAUCCGCUUUUGUUGACUUUCUUCCUUUGCUUUGCUUGUUUAUCAUUGCUCAUUGCCUAUUCCAAAGGACACACUUGAGUCAUCUUCUAUAUGAUUUCAAGAGGUGAACCUUCUAGGAAGUUUUACACUCC
This 287-nucleotide long non-coding RNA is filed under the name Lathyrus oleraceus (garden pea). RNAcentral describes it as "Pisum sativum (pea) long non-coding RNA (PSAT_LNC040704)". Lineage: Eukaryota; Viridiplantae; Streptophyta; Magnoliopsida; Fabales; Fabaceae. The record is from RNAcentral.